UACGGAGGGUGCGAGCGUUAUCCGGAUUCACUGGGUUUAAAGGGUGCGUAGGUGGGCAGGUAAGUCAGUGGUGAAAUCUCCGGGCUUAACCUGGAAACUGCCAUUGAUACUAUCAAUCUUGAAUACCUUGGAGGUGAGCGGAAUAUGUCAUGUAGCGGUGAAAUGCUUAGAUAUGACAUAGAACACCAAUUGCGAAGGCAGCUCACUACACGGUCAUUGACACUGAGGCACGAAAGCGUGGGGAUCAAACAGG
RNAcentral lists this ribosomal RNA (253 nucleotides) under uncultured bacterium. Its description in RNAcentral is "partial 16S ribosomal RNA". It matches the Rfam family "Bacterial small subunit ribosomal RNA", at positions 524 to 776 of the family's 1533-position model. The record is from RNAcentral.